AGAUGAUGACCCGGAGCUGAAGGCUUUCUCUCCACUGGCCUCUCGGUCAACUGUGCUUCACUUUGGCUCACAGAAUAACCUCAACUAAGAAUAUAUGCAUCAGCCCUCACUGCGUGUCUGACGGUGGACUACUGGAGGUCUUCACAGGCUCGACGAGAAUGCAGAACUGUCCACUACAUUUACUCUCCUUUCUAGAUCCUUCCAGCAGGUUUACACAGAUGAGGCUGUCGGCAUCUUUUUACACAGCAUUCACAAUUUAGCACACAUUAAAGACAUGAUGGUGUGGUACCCACAUAAACGUUGGCCAACUUACUGAAAAAUUAUUUUAGGUUACUUUUAAAUGGGUCAGAUGAUAUAUUUUCCUUUCAGUAUACACACACUCACACAGAUACUUAUACAUAUAUAAAGAGUAAAAAUGCUGGGUAUUAACACUGCUUAUGAUUUUGUGCUAUAUAAAUAAAACUUGAACUUGAGUUGCAUUUAGAAUUUGAA
Non-coding RNA from Danio rerio (zebrafish), 492 nucleotides. NCBI's taxonomy places the organism in Eukaryota, Metazoa, Chordata, Actinopteri, Cypriniformes, Danionidae. The record is from RefSeq and is a predicted model, not a curated record.